GGCUGGGGUUUAGGGCUAGGGACUCCCGAGGCCCCUUAACCCCUUAAAGCCUGGGGGAAAGGGAGAGCCUGAAGGCUGAAGGAAGAGGGGAAGGUGUGCAUAGGGGCCAGGGGCAGAGAUGCAGGUUCAGGGAUUAAGAGCAUGAAGUGAGAAGGAAGAGCAAAGGCAGAACAACAGGGGCUCCAUUCCUGGCUGCAGCACUCCAAGUCGGCUGAACCUCUCGCAUCUGGAUCUUCUUCUGGACCUCAGUUUUCUUCAUUGUCUAGCUCUUAAUGGGACAGGCAGCUCCGCCAUGGCCUCUUAGAGCUCUGCACUGCCAUGAGAAAGGUUAACUACCUGCUAGAGUGACCACCUGAAGAAGCCUUGAAUUUACAUGGAGAGGAAGAGGGACCCUGCUGACUUCAGCAUCCCCAUCAUCUUCACUAUGGUGCCAGGUAUCCAAGUAAAACCAUCCUGAUGCCCCAGAUUGGUUCAAGCAUCAGACACAUACCACGGAAUAGUUCCAGUCACUCUGACUCCAUGGAUCACUGAGUCCUUCCUGAAUAUUUGACCUACAAAUCUGUAGAAAAAGAAAUGGUCAUUGGGGAAAGUUUGCGAUGUAACCAUACACAACCAGCUCAGUCCAACCAAAACAAAAAAAGGGCCUGGGAUUUAGCUCAGUGGUUCUCGCGCCUGUCUCACAAGCAGAAGGAUCCGAGUUCCAUCCCUGGUACUAAAACAACAAAGCAAACAAACAAACCAAACACAACCAGCUCAGUCCAAGAGGCAGAAUCUUUGUGCUAAGAAUGUUGCAGCCACUGAUCCAGCUCUGGCCUGGCUAUCUCUAUGUUCUUGUUAAAUGUGAAAAAUAAACCUAGUUUGCUUAAGCCUGGAUGGCACCUUGGGCUACUGCUAGGGGCCUCAGUUUUCCUGCCAUUGAUAAGUGAACAUUUGGCUCCUCCUUAUUAUCUCUCAAGGGUUAUUAUCCCUGAGAAGGUGGAGUAAGAAUCAAGAAGAAAAAGGCUUUUUCAUUAAUAUAAACAGUGCUUCUGUCCCACAAGACCAGUUAACAACACGCUUGAACAUUCAUUAUAUAUUUAGUGUGCUCAUAAUGGGGUGUGAGCCCUGUCACAGACCAACUGCAGUGGAUUUGGGAAUUAGACACAUCAGGGCUGGUG
Molecule: long non-coding RNA, 1157 nt
Filed under: Heterocephalus glaber (naked mole-rat)
Lineage: Eukaryota; Metazoa; Chordata; Mammalia; Rodentia; Bathyergidae
Description: lncRNA (ENSHGLG00000032172.1)
Source: RNAcentral